GUCCACGCCUUAAACGAUGGAUACUAAGUGUCGGCGGGUUACCGCCGGUGCCGCAGCUAACGCAGUAAGUAUCCCGCCUGGGAAGUACGGCCGCAAGGUUGAAACUCAAAGGAAUUGACGGGGCCCGCACAAGCGGUGGAGCAUGUGGUUUAAUUCGACGCAACGCGAAGAACCUUACCCAGGCUGGACAUGCAGGUAGUAGAAGGGUGAAAGCCUAACGAGGUAGCAAUACCAUCCUGCUCAGGUGCUGCAUGGCUGUCGU
Molecule: ribosomal RNA, 262 nt
Filed under: uncultured bacterium
Lineage: Bacteria
Description: partial 16S ribosomal RNA
Rfam family: Bacterial small subunit ribosomal RNA
Source: RNAcentral